This 228-nucleotide long non-coding RNA is filed under the name Gossypium raimondii (Peruvian cotton). RNAcentral's name for it is "long non-coding RNA (GRAI_LNC008435)". Lineage: Eukaryota; Viridiplantae; Streptophyta; Magnoliopsida; Malvales; Malvaceae. The record is from RNAcentral.
UAGUAGGCCAAAUUUUCCCAGGCCCAAAACCAAUUAAAUGUCCAUAUAAAAUAAUCCAAAUGUCCAAAUCACAAAAAAAAAACGUAAAGCCCAAAUGGCCCAAAACCUAAACCUACUUUCAGCAGACUAGAAACCCUAGCCACAUGAUCAGUCGCCUUAGCUCUUCCACAUCAGCAAGCAUGCAUCUAUGCACGCCUCUACCACCGCCACCGUCAACCUCUGCCACCA